RNAcentral lists this ribosomal RNA (534 nucleotides) under uncultured bacterium. Its description in RNAcentral is "bacterial SSU rRNA". It matches the Rfam family "Bacterial small subunit ribosomal RNA", at positions 977 to 1509 of the family's 1533-position model. The record is from RNAcentral.
GGCCUUGACAUACUAAGAACUUUCCAGAGAUGGAUUGGGUGCCUUCGGGAACCUAGAUACAGGUGCUGCAUGGCUGUCGUCAGCUCGUGUCGUGAGAUGUUGGGUUAAGUCCCGNAACGAGCGCAACCCUUUUCCUUAUUUGCCAGCGGGUCAUGCCGGGAACUUUAAGGAUACUGCCAGUGACAAACUGGAGGAAGGCGGGGACGACGUCAAGUCAUCAUGGCCCUUACGGCCAGGGCUACACACGUGCUACAAUGGUCGGUACAAAGGGUUGCUACCUCGCGAGAGGAUGCUAAUCUCAAAAAGCCGAUCGUAGUCCGGAUCGCAGUCUGCAACUCGACUGCGUGAAGUCGGAAUCGCUAGUAAUCGCGGAUCAGAAUGCCGCGGUGAAUACGUUCCCGGGCCUUGUACACACCGCCCGUCACACCAUGGGAGUUUGUUGCACCAGAAGUAGGUAGUCUAACCGCAAGGAGGACGCUUACCACGGUGUGGCCGAUGACUGGGGUGAAGUCGUAACAAGGUAAGCGUAGAUGA